ACGACCGUACCGCAAACCGACACUGGUGCGCGAGAUGAGUAUUCUAAGGCGCUUGAGAGAACUCAGGAGAAGGAACUCGGCAAAUUGACACCGUAACUUCGGAAGAAGGUGUGCCUUUAGUAGGUGAACCUGUACAAGGGGAGCCCAAUGAGGUUGCAAAAAAUCGGUGGCUGCGACUGUUUAAUAAAAACACAGCACUCUGCAAACACGAAAGUGGACGUAUAGGGUGUGACGCCUGCCCGGUGCUGGAAGAUUAAAUGAUGGGGUGCAAGCUCUUGAUUGAAGUCCCAGUAAACGGCGGCCGUAACGAUAACGGUCCUAAGGUAGCGAAAUUCCUUGUCGGGUAAGUUCCGACCUGCACGAAUGGCGUAACGAUGGCCACACUGUCUCCUCCUGAGACUCAGCGAAGUUGAAAUGUUUGUGAUGAUGCAAUCUCCCCGCGGAAAGACGGAAAGACCCCAUGAACCUUUACUGUAGCUUUGUAUUGGACUUUGAACAGAUCUGUGUAGGAUAGGUGGGAGGCUUUGAAGUGUGGUCGCUAGAUCGCAUGGAGCCAACGUUGAAAUACCACCCUGGUGUGUUUGAGGUUCUAACCUAGGCCCGUAAUCCGGGUCGGGGACAGUGCAUGGUAGGCAGUUUGACUGGGGCGGUCUCCUCCCAAAGCGUAACGGAGGAGUUCGAAGGUACGCUAGGUACGGUCGGACAUCGUGCUAAUAGUGCAAUGGCAUAAGCGUGCUUAACUGCGAGACUGACAAGUCGAGCAGAUGCGAAAGCAGGACAUAGUGAUCCGGUGGUUCUGUAUGGAAGGGCCAUCGCUCAACGGAUAAAAGUACUCUGGGGAUAACAGGCUGAUACCGCCCAAGAGUUCAUAUCGACGGCGGUGUUUGGCACCUCGAUGUCGGCUCAUCUCAUCCUGGGGCUGUAGCCGGUCCCAAGGGUAUGGCUGUUCGCCAUUUAAAGAGGUACGUGAGCUGGGUUUAAAACGUCGUGAGACAGUUUGGUCCCUAUCUUCCGUGGGCGCUGCAGAUUUGAGGAAGCCUGCUCCUAGUACGAGAGGACCGGAGUGGACACACCUCUGGUGUAUCGGUUGUCACGCCAGUGGCAUUGCCGAGUAGCUAUGUGUGGAAGAGAUAACCGCUGAAAGCAUCUAAGCGGGAAACUCGUUUCAAGAUGAGAUCUGCCGGGGCCUUGAGCCCCCUAAAGAGUCGUUCAAGACCAGGACGUUGUUAGGUCGGGUGUGGAAGCGCAGUAAUGCGUUAAGCUAACCGAUACUAAUUGCUCGUGCGGCUUGAUCA
This 1295-nucleotide ribosomal RNA is filed under the name metagenome. RNAcentral describes it as "bacterial LSU rRNA". It matches the Rfam family "Bacterial large subunit ribosomal RNA", at positions 1638 to 2925 of the family's 2925-position model. The record is from RNAcentral.